AAACUCGUAGCUCAGCUGGUAGAGCGUGCGCUGUACAAAAGCGUGGGUUCGAAUCCCAUCGAGGCUA
Molecule: transfer RNA, 67 nt
Filed under: Echinostoma caproni
Lineage: Eukaryota; Metazoa; Platyhelminthes; Trematoda; Plagiorchiida; Echinostomatidae
Rfam family: tRNA
About the family: Transfer RNA (tRNA) molecules are approximately 80 nucleotides in length. Their secondary structure includes four short double-helical elements and three loops (D, anti-codon, and T loops).
Source: Rfam by way of RNAcentral